GAUGAACGCUGGCGGCGUGCUUAACACAUGCAAGUCGAACGGUGAACACGGAGCUUGCUCUGUGGGAUCAGUGGCGAACGGGUGAGUAACACGUGAGCAACCUGCCCCUGACUCUGGGAUAAGCGCUGGAAACGGCGUCUAAUACUGGAUAUGUGACGUGACCGCAUGGUCUGCGUUUGGAAAGAUUUUUCGGUUGGGGAUGGGCCCGCGGCCUAUCAGCUUGUUGGUGAGGUAAUGGCUCACCAAGGCGUCGACGGGUAGCCGGCCUGAGAGGGUGACCGGCCACACUGGGACUGAGACACGGCCCAGACUCCUACGGGAGGCAGCAGUGGGGAAUAUUGCACAAUGGGCGCAAGCCUGAUGCAGCAACGCCGCGUGAGGGAUGACGGCCUUCGGGUUGUAAACCUCUUUUGGCAGGGAAGAAGCGAGAGUGACGGUAACUGCAGAAGAAGCGCCGGCUAACUACGUG
RNAcentral lists this ribosomal RNA (469 nucleotides) under uncultured bacterium. RNAcentral describes it as "partial 16S ribosomal RNA". It matches the Rfam family "Bacterial small subunit ribosomal RNA", at positions 28 to 507 of the family's 1533-position model. The record is from RNAcentral.